This is a long non-coding RNA of Alnus glutinosa, 1239 nucleotides long. RefSeq lists it as uncharacterized. The transcript has 4 exons. Lineage: Eukaryota; Viridiplantae; Streptophyta; Magnoliopsida; Fagales; Betulaceae. The record is from RefSeq and is a predicted model, not a curated record.
CUAAAAACUUGCAUACUUCAGACUUUGUUUUAUUAAGAAUUUUUUGUUGUUCAGAGGAACUUAAUCUGUGAGGCAACAACUUUUCUGUUGGAUGUGCUGAAGCCGAAUCUACCUGAACAUGGCUUCCUUCAAACAAAGGUUUUGGAAAUUAACCUUGUGACGUUUCCAAAUGUUGCGGAUGCUAUAUUAGCCAAUGGUGUGUUCAGCCAUUACGACCGCCCACGUAUUGCACAGCUUUGUGAAAAAGCUGGUUUAUAUUUGAGGGCCCUUCAACACUAUACAGAGUUGCCUGAUAUUAAACGUGUCAUUGUGAAUACACAUGCAAUUGAACCACAGAUUUUGUGUUCGCCGUUUGUGUCAUUCCUUAUAGAGCCAUGGUGUCUUGCCUUGUAGAAGGAGUGAUUUCCGUAGAUGGUUCAAUACGCCCCCGCAAGCGAGACGGAGGGGACACGAUGUUGAGCUUGGAGGCAGUGGGUUUGGUGAAGAUGUCGGCGAGGUUAUCUUUACUGGAGAUGAAUCGAAAAGCUAAGGUUUUGGAGGCAACUUUGUCACGAAUGAAGUGAAAGUCAAUUACGAUAUGUUUGGUACCAGCAUGGAAUGCAGGAUUUGCAGAAAGCUAGGUGGCCCCAAUGUUGUCACACCAAAUAGUGGGUAGGAAGGAUAGGUAAAGGCCAAGGUCGUGGAGCAAGGAUUAGAGCCAAAUGAGUUCAGCGGCAGUGGUAGCAAGGGUGCGAUAUUCGGAUUCAGUGCUGGAGCGGGCAACUGUCCGUUGUUUGCGAGAGGACCAGGUAACAAGAUUGGGGCCAGGAUAGACACAGAAACCACUAGUGAAUUUUCGAUCAUCAGGACAGCCAGCCCAGUCAGUGUCUAAGUAGGCGUGAAGGGUGUGGGAUGAGCGGCAAAAGAGUAGGCCAUAGGAAAUAGUGGAUUUGAGGUAUGUUAGGAUGCGUUUGACAGCUUGCAGGUGUAGGGAUGUAGGAUGGUGCAUGAUGAGUGCCAAAAAGUGUAUAUUUGGACCCCUUAAUUUACAUUAGUUAAACCUUUAGCUUUGUUACUUUCUGAUGUUUUGGUUAGUUUUAGUGUUUUUAUGUUUUGCAGAGCAAUAAGAGAAAAAUGACAAUUUUUAAGGCAAAAAUACAUAGAAAAGCUGGAUUUUCAGAAGUGCUGAAAAAGUAGAUCGAUCGAAUAUUAAGUAGAUCGAUCGAUUUUAAAAUCGAUCGAUCGAAUUUUUGCGGGACA